GGUUCCGUGGUCUAGUUGGUUACGACGUCUGCUUCACAAGCGAUAUGAGAUCGCAGAAGGUCCUGGGUUCGAGCCCCAGCGGAGCCA
This 87-nucleotide transfer RNA is filed under the name Grosmannia clavigera kw1407. It matches the Rfam family "tRNA". Rfam says of the family: Transfer RNA (tRNA) molecules are approximately 80 nucleotides in length. The record is from Rfam by way of RNAcentral. Lineage: Eukaryota; Fungi; Ascomycota; Sordariomycetes; Ophiostomatales; Ophiostomataceae.